AAGAAAACUGGAGGGAGCCGAUAGUAAGAGGGGCUUGGGGAGCAAAAACAGGAAAAAGGGCGAAAAGCCGAGAGGGGUUUUAGGGCUGGAAGAAAGGAGGAGAUUAACGGCUGGGGGGACUGGAAAAGGGGACGGCUGAGAGAAAUUAAAAAGGAGGGGAGAUUGGUGAAGAAAAGACAGAGGGUAAGGAAAAGAAACAGAAGAGGGGCGGCAGACAGAUAGAGCUAAAAAAACUGACUAAGGGAAGGCUAAAGGAAGAGACAGAGGGGCUUGGUGGAAGAAAAAGAAGAACAGGGGCGGAGCAGAGAGCUAACGCGAGAGAGAAAAACAACAACGGAGGAAAAAGGCAGAGGAAAAAGGAAAAAGCAGGGGUGGUGGGCAAGGAAAAACUAUCGAACAAAAAGAGAAAAAGAAGGAAAGGAGGGCUUCGGAGACUAUGGAGAAAGAGAGAAAGCUAAAGGAAGGAAGAAAGAGGGCUUCGGCUACGGGGAAGGGUUGAACGGAUAUGGAAAAAACCUAAAAAUGGGGAGGAAAUUUCAGUUUGAACGAUCGAAAAGGAGAGAAAUUUCCAAUCACCACCGCCGCAAUCCAAGCUCUGCCACGGCAUCUCCACCUCGUGCGCCACUUAGCUGACUGACGCACCUCCCAUUCCCGCGCGGCCCUUCUCCGCCCCAGAUCUCCUCUCUUCCUCACGCCGCCCGCCCAAGCCACCAUCAGUCCGCAUUCGCUGCUGUUGCUGUCUGCCAUCGUCACCACCAUACACAACCUCCUUGGCCGCUGCCGCUCUCUGCAAAUCUAGAUGAAAGCUCUCAAACGAAGUCAGACUUCGUCAUCUUCCAAUUCCAGAAUGAAAGAGUCAAGAAGAAAGGGACGCCAUUCUGGAUACGAUACAGGAAUUUGAGGGAAGGCCUCUGCUUUUGUAACUCCCAGUACUUUAACUCGCCAGCAAAGAGGAAAACAAUAACUUUUUGCACAGAAAGGAGAUGGGAGAAAUUUUUUUUUUUUACACAAAAGAUAGGAGAGAGAUGGCUCUGAGGUCUUUCUGUCAAUUUUUCUCAUAAAAAAUCUGAGGUAAGAUGACUCCAAAACACCUCUCCAAAAAUAGUUGGAUGUGUCAAAGAAGUGAUUGUAUUCUCAAAUUCUAGGAAGAAUUGUAUGCCAUUUAUCUCAAAGUAGAGGCAUCUUGUCCUCAUAUUUGAACA
Molecule: non-coding RNA, 1202 nt
Organism: Coffea arabica (coffee)
Lineage: Eukaryota; Viridiplantae; Streptophyta; Magnoliopsida; Gentianales; Rubiaceae
Source: RefSeq, a predicted model, not a curated record